Long non-coding RNA from Anas platyrhynchos (mallard), 1913 nucleotides. RefSeq lists it as uncharacterized. The record is from RefSeq and is a predicted model, not a curated record. NCBI's taxonomy places the organism in Eukaryota, Metazoa, Chordata, Aves, Anseriformes, Anatidae.
AAUGGAUGGCUCCUCAAGAGCACAUGAAAUAUCAGAAGUCCUCACUGCUGCCAAGGAGCUAGAUGAUCUGUUUGAGGUCUGAGUCACAACAUACCAAAUUCGUGUUUGUGCAUGGGUCUUCUGACUUUCUGUGAUAAUCUCAGCAAGAAGCAGGGACUGGGUCAGGCUACCUCUUCCCUGAAUCACAGCACAAGGCUCCACUAACAGGAAACAUGGCAUCGUGCCACAAAGCUGAAACAGGAAGUAUUUGUCAUCAAAGGCUAGCUGUGUCAAAAACCUUGUGACACUAAUCUGUCCUGCAGAGAAUGUAAGUAGCCUGCAGUGAAUACGUACAAAGUGAAGAGCAACAUUGUGUAAAGCAAGUCAUUCCUGUGCUGUGGGGAUAAAAUGAGACAGAACCAGCCUGAAUCUUUUCCUACAUGAGAAGAGAUCGAUAUCCUAGAAAAACACAACAUGACAUCUUAAAUGAACAUUCACACCACACCAAACCCAGCAGCUACCGUCAUACUGCAAUCAUCUGUCUAUCAUCAGUGUGUGUUUGCUGUGAGCUUGUAUGACUACAGCCAAGGCAGCAGAAAAGGCAUCCCCUGAAACCAUAUGAGUGUCCUCUCCAUGAAACCCUCUGCUAGAGCCUAACUAUGUACUUCCUAGAAACAGGCUCAGAUCACCUGUGGCCUGAGAUGUGACAUCCCACUCCCAUCUAAGCACGACACAAGAGAUUACAAACCUGAUCAGAGAUUAAAAGCUGAACAGCUUCCCAGCAUGGCCAGAGGGUAGACCAUAGAGGUGGCUAAGCCUCAGUACUUUUCCUUUGUUGGACUAAGCAGAAGCCAUUCAGGGAAUUGUCUCACAGACUGCCCUUAUGGUGGAUGACAACAGCAGGCACCUUACCAGUCAAACACAACUGCUCACAGUGCAACUAAGAAGUUCCACGAGAGAGAGGAGCAUAGUCUACAGAGGGGAAGAGUCAUCUGCUUUAGCAAAUCUGUAUUGCCAACAGCUGGUCAUUUUUUCCCAUCACCUUUGCACUGCCUGUAGCUGGUGUUGAUGAGUUUCUCAGUAACAAGCAACUCCUCAUCUUUCCAUGCUGAGGAGCAGUGGGGACAUGAAAGGAGAAGGAGCUGUAUCUAUUUCAUGCUCAGCACAAGUUAGCAACACUGGUCAGCAUGUGAAAGGGAAUUUUCUACUGUGAAAUCCAACACCAGGUUGUUUUGAAGGAACAUGCUGUUUUUACUGAUAUUCUCCCCUCUCACCCUCCCAAAAUAUAUAUUAUUUUUCUGAUCAAUAAAUAUGGAAGGGUUUUGAUGAGCCCAAAAUGCCUCGUUACACUUUUCUUAUUUGGAAUAUCAUAUCUUUAUGAAUAUAUUAUUGUAUUUGUAUGUUAACAACAUGUGAGCAUUUCCUCUUGUUUUGCCUUUAUUGCAAUCAAGUGGCUUUACCUAAUCAAAAUGAGACAAAUAGAUACUAUCAAAGUGAAAUGUUUUAUGGUUUAUAUAUUAGUAAUAUAUAGAAAGCUGCUUUUUCAAAUUAUCUGCUGAUUGGACAAACCUCAAAAGAGACAACUCCAGCUUGUAGCCAAGAUGAUUAUUUCUGUGUUUGUCACUUUGUAAAUUGUCUGGAUGAUUAUUCUCUGAAAUUAACUACAUAAUUCAUUGCACUGUUCUCUAAGUUAAUCAUAUUUUUAAGUCAUUGUUUUUCUUAUAUACAUAGUGCUUCAACUCUAAGAAAAUGAGACACUUUCCUCAAGGACACCAUAAUACCUACAUUACUAAGAUCAUGAACAAGGCACUGAAAUCUAACUAAAACUUGGCAGCUUAAUAAAUGACAAUUUUCUGUAUGCUUCUCUUUAACUGAAGAACAAAUAUUGAUGAAGCAACUCUGCUUGCCACCAACACCAUGCAGUUUUUUUGAGA